Molecule: small nuclear RNA, 102 nt
Organism: Sciurus vulgaris (Eurasian red squirrel)
Lineage: Eukaryota; Metazoa; Chordata; Mammalia; Rodentia; Sciuridae
Source: Ensembl
UUGCUUCAGUAGCACAUAUACUAAAAUUGGAAUGAUGAAGAGAUAAGUGCAUAGUCCCUAUGCAAGGAUAAUGUGCAAAUUCAGGAAGCAUUCAAUUUUUAA